UACGUAGGGGGCAAGCGUUGUCCGGAUUUAUUGGGCGUAAAGAGCGUGUAGGCGGCCAGGUAGGUCAGCUGUGAAAACUCGAGGCUCAACCUCGAGACGUCGGUUGAAACCACCUGGCUAGAGUCCGGAAGAGGAGAGUGGAAUUCCUGGUGUAGCGGUGGAAUGCGCAGAUAUCAGGAGGAACACCAGUGGCGAAGGCGGGUCUCUGGGCCGAUACUGACGCUGAGGAGCGAAAGCGUGGGGAGCGAACAGG
Molecule: ribosomal RNA, 253 nt
Filed under: uncultured bacterium
Lineage: Bacteria
Description: partial 16S ribosomal RNA
Rfam family: Bacterial small subunit ribosomal RNA
Source: RNAcentral